GGUCUGAUUAUGGCUCAGAUUGAACGCUGGCGGGAUGCUUUACACAUGCAAGUCGAACGGCAGCACGGACUUUGGUCUGGUGGCGAGUGGCGAACGGGUGAGUAAUGUAUCGGAACGUGCCUAGUAGCGGGAUAACUACGCAGCGUAGCUAAUACUGCAUACGCCCUUCGGGGGAAAGCGGGGACCUUCGGGCCUCGCACUAUUAGAGCGGCCGAUAUCGGAUUAGCUAGUUGGUGGGGUAACGGCUCACCAAGGCGACGAUCCGUAGCUGGUUUGAGAGGACGACCAGCCACACUGGGACUGAGACACGGCCCAGACUUCACGGGAGGCAGCAGUGGGGAAUUUUGGACAAUGGGGGAAACUCCUGAUCCAGCCAUCCCGCGUGUGCGAUGAAGGCCUUCGGGUUGUAAAGCACUUUUGGCAGGAAGAAACGGCACGGGAUAAUACCCCGUGCAACUGAUUUACCUGCAGAAUAAGCACCGGCUAACUACGUGCCAGCAGCCGCGGUAAUACGUAGGGUGCAAGCGUUAAUCGGAAUUACUGGGCGCAAAGCGUGCGCAGGCGGUUCAAAGAAAGAUGUGAAACUCUGUUUUUAACUUUGGAACUGCAUUUUUAACUACCGAGCUAGAGUGUGUCAGAGUGAGGUGGAAUUCCGCGUAGCAGUGAAAUGCGUAGAUAUGCGGAGGAACACCGAUGGCGAAGGCAGCCUCCUGGAUAACACUGACGCUCAUGCACGAAAGCGUGGGGAGCAAACAGGAUUAGAUACCCUGGGAAUCUACGCCCUAAACGAUGUCAACUAGCUGUUGGGGCCUUCGGGCCUUGGUAGCGCAGCUAACGCGUGAAGUUGACCGCCUGGGGAGUACGGUCGCAAGAUUAAAACUCAAAGGAAUUGACGGGGACCCGCACAAGCGGUGGAUGAUGUGGAUUAAUUCGAUGCAACGCGAAAAACCUUACCUACCCUUGACAUGUCUGGAAUCCCGAAGAGAUUUGGGAGUGCUCGCAAGAGAACUGGAACACAGGUGCUGCAUGGCUGUCGUCAGCUCGUGUCGUGAGAUGUUGGGUUAAGUCCCGCAACGAGCGCAACCCUUGUCAUUAAAGCAUGAAAGGGCACCU
This 1113-nucleotide unclassified non-coding RNA is filed under the name uncultured Bordetella sp. Its description in RNAcentral is "partial 16S-23S ribosomal RNA intergenic spacer". It matches the Rfam family "Bacterial small subunit ribosomal RNA", at positions 10 to 1139 of the family's 1533-position model. The record is from RNAcentral. Lineage: Bacteria; Pseudomonadati; Pseudomonadota; Betaproteobacteria; Burkholderiales; Alcaligenaceae.